GUGGGGAAUAUUGGACAAUGGGCGCAAGCCUGAUCCAGCCAUGCCGCGUGAGUGAUGAAGGCCCUAGGGUUGUAAAGCUCUUUCACCGGUGAAGAUAAUGACGGUAACCGGAGAAGAAGCCCCGGCUAACUUCGUGCCAGCAGCCGCGGUAAUACGAAGGGGGCUAGCGUUGUUCGGAAUUACUGGGCGUAAAGCGCACGUAGGCGGAUAUUUAAGUCAGGGGUGAAAUCCCGGGGCUCAACCCCGGAACUGCCUUUGAUACUGGGUAUCUGGAGUAUGGAAGAGGUGAGUGGAAUUCCGAGUGUAGAGGUGAAAUUCGUAGAUAUUCGGAGGAACACCAGUGGCGAAGGCGGCUCACUGGCUCGAUACUGACGCUGAGGUGCGAAAGCGUGGGGAGCAAACAGGAUUAGAAACCCUGGUAGUCC
RNAcentral lists this ribosomal RNA (425 nucleotides) under uncultured bacterium. RNAcentral describes it as "partial 16S ribosomal RNA". It matches the Rfam family "Bacterial small subunit ribosomal RNA", at positions 354 to 796 of the family's 1533-position model. The record is from RNAcentral.